UCCUACGGGGCGCAGCAGUGGGGAAUAUUGCACAAUGGGGGAAACCCUGAUGCAGCGACGCCGCGUGAGCGAUGAAGUAUUUCGGUAUGUAAAGCUCUAUCAGCAGGGAAGAAAAUGACGGUACCUGACUAAGAAGCCCCGGCUAACUACGUGCCAGCAGCCGCGGUAAUACGUAGGGGGCAAGCGUUAUCCGGAUUUACUGGGUGUAAAGGGAGCGUAGACGGUCCUGCAAGCCAGAUGUGAAAGCCCGGGGCCCAACCCCGGGACUGCAUUUGGAGCGGUAGGGCUGGAGGGUCGGAGAGGCG
Molecule: ribosomal RNA, 305 nt
Filed under: uncultured bacterium
Lineage: Bacteria
Description: bacterial SSU rRNA
Rfam family: Bacterial small subunit ribosomal RNA
Source: RNAcentral